This 219-nucleotide microRNA precursor is filed under the name Nicotiana sylvestris (wood tobacco). RNAcentral describes it as "mir-166 microRNA precursor family". It matches the Rfam family "mir-166 microRNA precursor family". Rfam says of the family: This family represents the plant microRNA (miRNA) precursor mir-166. Animal miRNAs are transcribed as ~70nt precursors and subsequently processed by the Dicer enzyme to give a ~22nt product. RNAcentral also lists the same sequence under 1 other name. Lineage: Eukaryota; Viridiplantae; Streptophyta; Magnoliopsida; Solanales; Solanaceae. The record is from Rfam by way of RNAcentral.
GUUGAGGGGAAUGCUGUCUGGUUCGAAACCAUUCUGUAAAGUGAUCCAAGCCAAUAUUUCAGGGUCGAAUCUUAUAUAUGUGUACGAAAAAGAAUAUAAAUAAAGUUUGAUAUACAUUUCAGAACUCACAACGUCUAAAUUCUGAAUUUUCUAUCGUAGAUCAGAGUUGAUGAUCAUUUGAUCAUGAGUGAUUUCGGACCAGGCUUCAUUCCCCUCAAC